This 3206-nucleotide ribosomal RNA is filed under the name Durio zibethinus. RNAcentral describes it as "eukaryotic LSU rRNA". It matches the Rfam family "Eukaryotic large subunit ribosomal RNA". Lineage: Eukaryota; Viridiplantae; Streptophyta; Magnoliopsida; Malvales; Malvaceae. The record is from RNAcentral.
CCCCUAGGUCAGUUGGGAUUGCCCACUGAGUUUAAGCAUAUCAAUAAGUGGAGGAAAAAAAACUUACCAAGAUUCCCCUAGAAACUGUGAGCAAAUUGAGAGUAGCCCAGCUUGAGAAUUGAGUGCCCCUGGUGUCUAAAUUGUAGGUUGGAGAAACAUCAUCAGUGGUGGACAAGGCCCAAGUCCCUUGAAAAGGGCCAUUAGAGAGGGCAAGAGCCUAGACCAUGUCAUACCAUGAGGUGCUAUCUGCUAGUUGGGUUGUUUGGGAAUGUAGCCCUAAUUGAGUAGUAAAUUUCAUCUAAGGCUAAAUAUAGGUGAGAAACUGAUAGCUAACAAGUAUUGCAAUGGAAAAAUGAAAAGGACUUUGAAAAGAGAGUCAAAGACUAAUUGAAAUUGUCAGGAAGGAAGUGGAUGGGCACCGACAAUGCACCCCGAUCGAUGUGGAAUGGUGAGAGUCGAUCCAUUGAUCAAGUCAUGACGUAGAUUAAUGUAGGUUAUGAUGCUGGCCUAAGGUCGAGCUUUCAAUAUACCUAUGGAAAUGUCAUUGCCACAAUUAUGUGCGAGUCCAUCUUGAAACAUAGACCAAGGAGUCUGACAUGUGUGCAAGUUAACAAGCUAGAAAACCCAUAAGGUGCAAGGAAGCUAAUUGGUGGGAUCCCUUGUAGGUGCACCACCGAUUGAUCUUGAUCUUCUGAAAAGGGUUUGAGUGUGAGUAUGCCUACCAAGACCUAAAAGAUGGUGAACUAUGCUUGAGCAAGGCAAAGCUAGAGGAAACUCUGGUGGACACCAUAGUGAUAUUGAUGUGCAAAUCAUUCAUCUUACUUGGGUAUAAUGUGAAAGACUAAUCAAACCAUUUAGUAACUGGUAACUUUUGAAGUUUCCCUCAAGAUAGUUAGAGCCCUUAAUGAGUUCUAUUGGGUAAAACCAAUGGUUAGAGGCAUAGAGAGUGCAACACUUUUGACCUAUUCUCAAACUUUAAGUAAGUAAGAUGACACAACUGUUUCAUUAAGUUGGAUCAUGGAAUCAAGAGCUCCAAGUGGGCCAUUUUUGGUAGAUAGAACUAGUGAUGUAGGAUGAACUAAAAGUCAAGUUAUUGUGUCAAACUGUACACUAACCUUAAACCCACAAAGGUUGUUAUUCAAUUAAGAUAGCAGGAUGAUGGUCAUGGAAGUUGAAAUUCACUAAGGAGUGUGUAAUAACUCACCUAUUGAAUAAACUAACCUAAAAAAUGGAUGGUGCUUAAGUGCAUGACCUAUACCGAGCCAUCGAGGCAAGGGACAGGCCUAAUAAGUAGGAUAGCUUAGUGGUCACCACAAAACCUGAGGCUUGAGCCCAAAUAGAAUAGCCAUCAGUGUAGAUCUUCAUAGUAGUAGCAAAUAUUUAUAUGAGAACUUUGAAGGGUGAAAAAGGGAAAGGUUCCAUGUGAACGGCACUUGUACAUGUGUUUGUUGAUCCUAAGAGAUGGGAUAAAGUUAUCCGACAACGUGUCCAUUGUGAGCUUAGAAAAGGAAUCGAGUUAAAAUUCUUGAACUAGGAUGUAACGGCUGACAAUAAUGUCAAAAAGUCUAAAGACAUUGGUGGACGCCUUGGGAAGGGUUAUCUUUUAUGUUUAAUGCUUGGCCCACCCUAGAAAUGGUUUACCUAAAGGUAGGGUCCAAUGGUUGGAAGAGCACUACACAUUGCAUGGUGUUCGGUGCACCCUUGGUGGCCCUUGAAAAUUUGAAGGAUCGAGUACUCAUAAUCGCAUUAAGUUUCCAAGGUGAACAGCCCUUAGUUGAUGGAAUAAUGUAAACAAGAGAAGUCGACAAAAUGGAUCUAUUACCUUAAGAAAAGGAUUGGCUAUGAGGGCUAGACAUGAGGGUUCCAAUCCCAAACCCAUUGGCUACUAAUGCACUGUUUGAACUACUUUUAUAGCUAGAGUGGGUCACUGUGUGCCGGCCAGAGGAUGAACUGGGAAUAGCUCACUCAAGGCCCUUCCUUGAGCAACGAAUAGUUGAGUUAGAACUGGUAUGAACAUUGGGAAUCCAACUAUUUAGUUUAAACAAAACAUUGCGAUGGUCCUUGUGGAUGCUCACACAAUGUGAUUUCUACCCAUUGCUCUAAAUGUCAAAGUGAAAAAAUUCAACUAAGUGUGGGUAAAUGACGAGAGUAACUAUGACUUUCUUAAGGUAGCCAAAUGCCUCGUCAUCUAAUUAGUGAUGGCAUGAAUGGAUUACUGAGAUUCCCACUAUCCCUAUCUACUAUCUAGUGAAACCACAACCAAGGGAUUAGGUUUGGUAGAAUUAGCGGGGAAAUAAGACCCUGUUAAGCUUAACUCUAGUCUGACUUUGUGAAAUAACUGGAGAGGUGCGAGAUAAGUGGGAGCCUUCAGGCAAAAUUGAAAUAUUAAUACUUUUAAUGUUAUUUUACUUAUUUCAUGAAUCAAAGGUAAGGCACGACCCAUUUUCUUGGACCUAAGGCUAGCCUCGAUUGGUUGAUUUGGGCAGAAGACAUUGUAAGGUAGGCUGUUUGGCUAAGAAGCACAUCUGUUAAAAGAUAACAUAGGUGUCGUAAGAUGUGCUCAACAAAAAGAGAAAUCUCAUGUGGAACAAAAAGGUAAAAGCUUAUUUGAUUCUAAUUUAAAGUGUAAAUAUGAACCAUGAAAACAUGGCUUAUCGAUCCUUUAAACCUUCAAAAUUUUAAGCUAGAGGUGUCAAAAAAGUUACCACAAGGAUAACAGGCUUAUGGCAGCCAAGCAUUCAUAGUGGCAUUGCUUUUUGAUCCUUUGAUGUCAGUUUUUCCUAUCAUUUUUGUGAAGUAGAAUUCACUAAGUGUUGGAUUGUUCACCCACCAAUAGGGAACGUGGGCUGCAUUUAGGCUAUUGUGAGAUAGCUUAAUUUUACCCUGCUAAUGGUAGCAUCACAAUAGUAAUUCAACCUAGUACAAGAGGAACUAUUGAUUCAUACAAUUGGUCAUGGUGUUUGGUUGAAAAGCCAGGGGCACGAUGCUACUAUGCACUGGAUUUUAACUAAAUGCCUUUAAUUGAGAAUCUAGGCUAAAAGCGAUGCACACACCCAUCACUUGAUUACUGACCCAUAGUAGGGACCCAUGGCCCCCCAAAGGCACAUGUCAUAGGUGUGGCACAUGUCAUAGGCCUAUGCCCUUGAGGCGGACAAGCUAUGUGGACCUCCUUAGAGCUCAAUUACCACUGAACAAUAGGUAGAAUC